Venturia canescens is the source of this 1724-nucleotide long non-coding RNA. RefSeq lists it as uncharacterized. NCBI's taxonomy places the organism in Eukaryota, Metazoa, Arthropoda, Insecta, Hymenoptera, Ichneumonidae. The record is from RefSeq and is a predicted model, not a curated record. The transcript is spliced from 2 exons.
CAAGGUUUUCAUCCUCCUAUUUGUGAGAAUGCAAAUUAUUAAAAUUGCUUCUAUUCAAAAUUCAGUGCACGAUCUCGCCGUUCUUCGAAAUCCAUCUGUUCACUGCUGGUACCGAAAGUAUGCCCCCGCACCUGGAAGCUGCAACACUCGACCACAGUUGGCAGUUGACCAUCGAUUCAUCUUCACGAGAAAAUAUCACUUUGUAUCGACAUCCAGAUAAAACUUGAGCUAUUCCUAAAACUCAUUCAAGAAAGUUUAAGUUCAUUGUGUAACCAAGGAAAUAAAGUGGGCAGGGACAAAAGGAAAGCAUCGUCUGUGCAUUAUCAUCUUGAAUUUGGAGCUGAUAUCCAAGAUGAGCUUGAUGGGACACUCAACGGUGUUUAUACGCGUGAUAACAUCAGGAACGAGCCCGAAUAGAGACAUCUUGCAAUUGGCAGCGAAAAUUGGCGAAGAAACAUUGUCUUUGUGGAUCAAACCUACAAAAUCAUCUGCGCCGUUGGCGGUACCGGAAAUCGAUGGAUUAGAAAUCUGGGAAUACGACUUGUACCUUUAUGGUCGAAAACUACCGAGUUUGUCGCUGAGAAUUGCUUUGCAAUUUUUCUACAGAUUUCUAAGGUUACCAUUCAGCCGAACAUGUGUGCUCGUUACCCAUACUGAGAAAAAUGACUUGGAACUCUUGAUUCAAGCCAUUAAGAAAAAAAACAUGAAGCCUGAAUUCAAACAUAUUAUUAAAAGGGUAUGUAAUGUUAUGCCAAUUUUCAAAGAAGAUCUUUGGAACUCAUUUACCCUAGUGGACGUCACAAUGCCCACUCUAGUACGGAAUUUGCUAAACAAAAAAUAUUUUGAAAAAGAAUCUGAACCAACGGCUUAUUUGGAAUUUCUCAAAGAGCUUUUUCACAAGUUCAUAAUAUCGAACUAUCAGCUGGAUACAUACUUAAUUUAUCCCUGGUAGGAUUUCCCCGGCUACCUCAUCUCAAUCAAUCAGAUUCCUUUGAACCAGGCUUUAUUCAUUGACUUCAGACCUACGAAUACACGAUAAAAAAAUUAUUAUUCUUCAACCGGACAACAGGAAGAACUCGUUUACGUUAUGGAGAACAGGAUUCGGUUGAUCAGCUUACCGGCAUCCAGGAUUUACUUGACUAAGAAACGACCCAGAAAUUUGAUCCAUUUUUUCCAAGAUACUUAAUCAAUUGUCAAAAAAUCUGAAACAAAAAGCAUAUCCACUCGGAGCGAAAUGUUAUUUUGGAGUUUUUAACGAACGAAACUCAGGACGAAGGAGUAUUUCAAAGAUGCGGUGGGGCGAGAAGAAUCGAAACAGGCUACGUCGUUGUGCAAUAUUCAAUAGAAAAUUUAUGAGUAGAUUCGUCACGUACAACAGACUCGACAAUUCACUCCUGUUCCUGAAACAUCAUCGAUGAUUAACAACUUGAAUUAAUUAGCAUUAAUUAUUGCCAAUGUAAUGUUCUGUGAUGUAAAACACUAUUUCGAUGACGAUUCUAUUAUUUUAAAGCAACUAAACCCGAGUGUAAAAUAGACUCUGAGUAGCUCUGCUUAAUCAGGAGCGCAAUACUUUCCAAAUGGAGUUCAACUACGUUAGUUGGUUGCAAAAUUCAACAAUUUUUUUUAUAAAAAUCGUAUCAAGAGAUGCGGUAGAGGCUCGACACCAAAGAUUUUUAUGCAUAAAAAAAUUAGAAACAAUAAAAACUUUUUUUUAAUACUUUAAA